AAGUUCGGUGACCUCUGCCCAGCCGAGAGCAGGGGAGGGUCCCGCGGCCAGGGCCCCGAGCGGCUCACCCUCCACGGCGUGGUUCACCUCUUGGAUGAACAGCUGCAGCUUCAUCACCAGGGUGGCUGCGUGGCCAUCCGCCUUCCCGGACGCCGCCUCCUUGGAGCCGGCCCUGAAGGCCGCAUUGAUCCACUCCUUCACGUCGAAGUCGUCUGCCAGGAACUUGGAGAAGUCCAUGGCGGAACUGCCUCAGGCCUGGCGUCCAGAACUUAAGAGUUGGCUCCGGGCGGCAACGGGGAUGCAGAAGCGAGCGAGCCUGCGAGAGCACCGAGGCUAGCCUCCGAGGCGAACCCCAGAAACGCCAGGACGGGUAACUUGCCCCUUUGCGCUUCCCCGCUCAGCGCACUCAGUUUGCGGCUGGGAAUGACCCUCGCCGCCCGCCGUUCUUCUUCCGGAAGUCGUUGGCCGUUACCAUAGUGACUGCAGGCGUCCGGAGCGCUGAGCAGAGGUGCAGUGGCUCAUGCCUGCAAUCCCAGCACUUUGGGAGGCCGAGGCAGGAGGAUCACAAGUCCCAGCUGCUAGGGAGGCUGAGGCAGGAUUGCUUGAGCCUGGGAAGCGGAGGUUGGAGGAAGCCGUGAUUGUACCACUGCAUUCCAGCCAGGGCAACAGAGCAAGACUCCAUCUCAAAAAUAAUUGUCCAUUUCAUCCAAGUUGUAUAAUUUGUUGGCAUAAAAUUGUUCAAAGGAUCCU
RNAcentral lists this long non-coding RNA (750 nucleotides) under Homo sapiens (human). RNAcentral describes it as "HSALNT0384993". The record is from RNAcentral. Lineage: Eukaryota; Metazoa; Chordata; Mammalia; Primates; Hominidae.